RNAcentral lists this ribosomal RNA (834 nucleotides) under Haloferax sp. VKMM006. Its description in RNAcentral is "bacterial SSU rRNA". It matches the Rfam family "Archaeal small subunit ribosomal RNA", at positions 48 to 882 of the family's 1478-position model. Lineage: Archaea; Methanobacteriati; Methanobacteriota; Halobacteria; Halobacteriales; Haloferacaceae. The record is from RNAcentral.
GCCAUGCUAGUUGCACGAGUUCAUACUCGUGGCGAAAAGCUCAGUAACACGUGGCCAAACUACCCUACAGAGAACGAUAACCUCGGGAAACUGAGGCUAAUAGUUCAUACGGGAGUCAUGCUGGAAUGCCGACUCCCCGAAACGCUCAGGCGCUGUAGGAUGUGGCUGCGGCCGAUUAGGUAGACGGUGGGGUAACGGCCCACCGUGCCGAUAAUCGGUACGGGUUGUGAGAGCAAGAGCCCGGAGACGGAAUCUGAGACAAGAUUCCGGGCCCUACGGGGCGCAGCAGGCGCGAAACCUUUACACUGCACGCAAGUGCGAUAAGGGGACCCCAAGUGCGAGGGCAUAUAGUCCUCGCUUUUCACGACUGUAAGGCGGUCGUGGAAUAAGAGCUGGGCAAGACCGGUGCCAGCCGCCGCGGUAAUACCGGCAGCUCAAGUGAUGACCGAUAUUAUUGGGCCUAAAGCGUCCGUAGCCGGCCACGAAGGUUCAUCGGGAAAUCCGCCAGCUCAACUGGCGGGCGUCCGGUGAAAACCACGUGGCUUGGGACCGGAAGGCUCGAGGGGUACGUCCGGGGUAGGAGUGAAAUCCCGUAAUCCUGGACGGACCACCGAUGGCGAAAGCACCUCGAGAAGACGGAUCCGACGGUGAGGGACGAAAGCUAGGGUCUCGAACCGGAUUAGAUACCCGGGUAGUCCUAGCUGUAAACGAUGCUCGCUAGGUGUGACACAGGCUACGAGCCUGUGUUGUGCCGUAGGGAAGCCGAGAAGCGAGCCGCCUGGGAAGUACGUCCGCAAGGAUGAAACUUAAAGGAAUUGGCGGGGGGAGCACUAC